Medicago truncatula (barrel medic) is the source of this 3168-nucleotide long non-coding RNA. RefSeq lists it as uncharacterized. The transcript has 8 exons. Lineage: Eukaryota; Viridiplantae; Streptophyta; Magnoliopsida; Fabales; Fabaceae. The record is from RefSeq and is a predicted model, not a curated record.
AUUAUCAUUCCCUUCUCAAAAAAUCAUAUUUAUUUUUUAUGGUGUGUUUUCUUGUAAAAUAAAAAAGUGCAAUGUAGAACUUGGGGGUUUGUCGCAAAAAACAUGAUUAAAAAAGGUGGUUUUGAAUCUGUCAGACAACCAUGUGACCAUCCCGGUUAGUUGAACUAGGCCAAGAACGAUCAUCUACAGCUGAAGAUGAUGCACACAUCAUCCUGGCCGUUAAUCACGCUCUGAUCACACGGUCACAACUCAUCUACCAGACAUAUGUUCCUAUCUCCUUAGAAAUCAAGGACACAGUAGUACAAUCCUAUAGAACAGAUCCUGUUCAAGUAAGAUAAACAAAAGCAGCUCUGGUGGGGAUACCGCUUCAAGUAGCUGGGGCCCAUUUUCAGCUUUUCAUGAUUGCCAUGGUAGAUUUUGAUCAAGAAAAUGUCGAGCUUUGGAAAGACUUAGUUAAAACAAAAGACCGAAUAUAUCGUUUAGCUCAAUACAGCUCAGCGGUUGGAAGGUGAGUUCUUAUUCAACACUGUUUCGUGUAUUUGCCAGGAUUUUUAAUCAAGUGAUCUGAUUAAUAUUUUUAAAAAGAUACUUAUCUUUGUCCUUUUCGGGUUGCGAGUGCACUGGGUGACCGGGGGCUUUGCUUUAUCCUAUCUAUGGUGAAGGAGAACUAACACAAGCCUUUUGUCGCCGUGCUUCUGUCAAAGGUUCGUCGAAUGCCUGUUAUUUCUCUGCUUAUGGAUAAGGUGACUGAGUUGCGUAAAGGUGUUAGAUCAGCUUAUGAUCCAUCCUUUGUAAUUCCAUCAACACAAUCUUUGUUUAAAGGAGUAACUAGGAGUUUUGUAGUUAUUAAUACAGUAAGUAUUUUAUGAUAGGGAUCAAAUUUUCUCACUCUUACCUCUCAACUUUUUUAUCACCUGCAUUGUCAACCACCAAGGAGAGAAAGAAGCCUCUGUACCUUGGUCUCUUUCUUUUGGAAGAAAAGCUUCAAUGAAUGAUUAAUAUUCUAGCUUUGAGAUGUUGAAGAAAACUAGAUGAUUUUAAACACAUGAAAUUGGAGAGAAAGGAUUAAUCCUUUUGAAUAAAUGUGUGGAUGAGUGAAUAGGGGAAAGAUGUGACAACUGGUUCUUCAUUCUCAAGGGGAGAAAGGGAAGUAGUCAAGUUAAUUUGUGUCUGAUAAUGUCCCACAUCUACCAAUGCAUAAACUAAACUAUGCUGAUCACAUAUAAAAUGAAAUGACCUCUACCUCCAAUAGGUACGGAGCCGUGUGAUGAUCACAUAGCGAACUAUUCUUUCGCCUUUUACUAAAGAAUACUGUGUGAGUGUCACAAUUAGCGGCAUACGCUAGUUUUUGGAAGAGUCCUCCUCACCGAAGGCUCUGCAAUUUUAGUACAAUAUUUUCUUAUUCUUGUUUUUUUGUGGUUACUAUGUUAUUGGUAUGCUACUUGUUUAAGGGAGUUCUUUACCACUUGUAUUAAUUCAUUGUUGGUAAUACUUCCCUAAUUUUUUUCUAGAGGAGUGACUCUAGACAAAACAACAUAGAGUAGGAAUUAAUUUAAUCAUCAUCCCCUCAAAGUGACACCUAUUCAUUGCCAAUAGGGGUGGGAAUAGGUAAGACCGUCCAAUAGGGGUCUACAGCCUAGGCUGAGUUUUUUCUUAAAUAGAUAAGUCUAAGAUUUUAUUAAGUAACAUUCUGGAGAUGGUGGUUUCUGCAAUACCAUUUUACUCUUAACACUAGUAAUUUUGCAUGUUAACAAUGGCCAGGACAAAAGAGGGUAUUCUGCUGUCGAAAUUUGUGGCUUCUACCUUGAUAUUUUAUCUCUGAAAUUUUUCCUGUUUCCUUUGUCAUUUUAGAAAUGAGAAAAUAAGAGUGAGAUUUCUUUUAUGCUGUGGUUUGAAAAUCAUAAUCAAAUCACCAAAUUAAUGUGAUUUGACACAAAUGGGAUAGUAUACUAGACUCUUUUGGAAACCUUUGAUAUUUUUUUUGCAAUAAUUUGUGAAUUGAGAUAUUUGGCAGUGGCUCAGUUUGUAUACUUGGUAUGCUUAAGCAUUCUGGCGGGGCGUUGUAUAUAUUUUUCUUUGAAAAGGUUAAAUCGAUCACCUUAUUAUGCAAUGAAAAUACCAUUUGUUUCAUCUUUCAUUGGAAUUUGGUUUUUUUGAAUAAAGUAUGUUAUGCCUUACACUUCAUGUGCAUGCAUUGUUUCAUCUUUGAUCGGUAUUUAUGUCUAAUUGUUUAUAGUGUAUGCAUAGCUUGUUGACCUGCGUCAGUACACUAAGGUAAAGCCUCUUUGUCUUCAACAAGAUUCUUUUGUAUACUAUAGCCAUGGUUGAUUUUGAUCAAGAAAAUGAUGAGGUUUGGAAAGACUUACUUAAAACAAAAGAAGGAAUAGAUCGUUUAGCUCAAUGCAGCUCAUCUGUUAGAAGUGCACCAAAGACUUUACUUUGUCCUAUUUAUGGUGAAGGAAAACUACGACAAGCUUUUUGUCGUCGUGCUGCUAUCAAAGGUUGCAUUUAUGUUCUCAGAAUGCUUGUUAUUUAUCUGCUUAUCCUGAACCCAUUCUUCACGAUUCCACCAUCGCCGACCGAUGCCGUCUUUGUCUCCUAAAGAUAUAUCCAGUGAAAGGCUGCAGAUGUUGAGUCAGAGAGAUAUUAAAGGAAUGGUGGCUAAGGGAAUAUGCAUCACCAGGUCCAGGAGUUUCAUACAACUAGAUGUAUCAAAAUUGCUCUGUGGUGUAUCCUCCUCUUAGAUGUAGGAGAUUGUACUUGUAGGUGCAAUGGCUGGAUCGACCCUCGCAGACUUCUAUGUUUUUUUCGACAAACUAAAGUACCACAAACCAAAUCAUCUAGUACGGAACAAAAGAAUGAAGGAAAAUCUACACUGUACACAAUCACAACUAUAUGUUGCUAACAGAAUUUACUGAAUAACAUAGUAAACUAAGCACUGCCACACAUGUUUCAUUCAAUCUCUUAACAACGGCGCUUUUUCAAGCCAUGAAUUAGACAAAUAAGUGUGGAUUGAAUACUUACAAUGUCGUGGUGAGCCCUGCGUCUUGUGGUGUGGACUACUCCACCUAUGCUUGAAGCUCGAUUAUUCUUAUUUUGGGUCGAGAGCUUCUUUUUCCUUGCCCUUGUAAGUUGCAAUUAUAUCAAUGAGACGUUUUGCACAUCUUU